This 465-nucleotide ribosomal RNA is filed under the name Vreelandella stevensii. RNAcentral's name for it is "partial 16S ribosomal RNA". It matches the Rfam family "Bacterial small subunit ribosomal RNA", at positions 338 to 795 of the family's 1533-position model. Lineage: Bacteria; Pseudomonadati; Pseudomonadota; Gammaproteobacteria; Oceanospirillales; Halomonadaceae. The record is from RNAcentral.
CCUACGGGGGGCUGCAGUGGGGAAUUUUGGACAAUGGGCGAAAGCCUGAUCCAGCCAUGCCGCGUGUGUGAAGAAGGCCUUCGGGUUGUAAAGCACUUUCAGUGGGGAAGAAAGCCUUGGGGCUAAUACCCUCGAGGAAGGACAUCACCCACAGAAGAAGCACCGGCUAACUCCGUGCCAGCAGCCGCGGUAAUACGGAGGGUGCGAGCGUUAAUCGGAAUUACUGGGCGUAAAGCGCGCGUAGGCGGUCUGAUAAGCCGGUUGUGAAAGCCCCGGGCUCAACCUGGGAACGGCAUCCGGAACUGCCAGGCUAGAGUGCAGGAGAGGAAGGUAGAAUUCCCGGUGUAGCAGUGAAAUGCGUAGAGAUCGGGAGGAAUACCAGUGGCGAAGGCGGCCUUCUGGACUGACACUGACGCUGAGGUGCGAAAGCGUGGGUAGCAAACAGGAUUAGAUACCCGGGUAGUC